GAAUGUGGACCUACUUAUUUUUCAAUUGAAUGUAAUUGACUACCUAAUUGAGUGCCACCUAUGCAUUGGAGCCUCUUUUAAUUAAUACAAAAUUGAGGUUACAUCUUUUCAAAUGUUCCUCAAUUAAUAUAUAAGGGAUUGAUGCGGUCAAUAAUAUCUUACCAAAAUUGUAAGUUAUCAGUUUAUAUAUUUUGAUUGUCCGUGCAUACAAAGUUUCACAUUAACAAAAUUAUAUAUUUGCUUUCUUAACACAUAUUCGAAAAUAAUGGCAUAAUUAACUGAGGAGAGAUUCACUCUGCACACAAAAUAUAACUCAAGGUCACGUGAAUGAUGUGAACAUAUGAGCUAAAACAUACAGAUAAGAUAUGGAACGAUAACCGAAUCAUAGAAUGUAAUAUAACAAAUCAUAAUUUCAAAUAUAUGUUGUUUGAGUUGAACGGCUUCUCUAUUGUAUGAGUUACUUUUUAUUUUUGUUUCAGAAAUGUUAAACAAUAACAUGAGAUGUGCACAAGUGUGUAAAUUCAACGGUAGAGUUCGUGAGUAUUGUUCGUCAUAACAUGCUUGUAUAAUGGAGUAAGUGUCUUUGGUACGUGUAAAUUCAUUAGUUUAUCUUGAUGAAUAAGACUUCGAAAUGUUAAUGUCAAAAUGUCUCCAAGUACAAUGGAAUAAAACUUGGAGACAUCUUGGAUCCAAUUCCUUAGGAGAACUGGUGCCAAUAGGUGUGAUAGGAAGCUUAAGUUUAGUUGUAAAGAAUAUGUUUGUAUAGACCAAUAUGACAUAUCGUUUUGAACAGGUAUGGUAAUAAGCUUGAGUUUAAUUAUCGAGACUAUGCUUGUAUAGAGCAAUAUGACAUUAUUUUGAACCGAAAGACAUAUUGUCAUGAACAAACGUAACUACAAUAUAAUGUCAUUCUACUUAAUUGGGAAACGUUUUGUUUAUAUCGUAGGUGAGAAUGAAUAAGUCGAGUUCUUCUGCUGGAGUGGGUUCCAUUGUAAAACAUGUCGAGUCGAGCUUUAGAGAUUAUAUACGAAGUUGUGGUGGAGAAAACCGGUUAAGAAAGCUUGACGAUUGAAGUGAGUUAUUGACUUAUUUUAUGUACCGUGUAAUGUCCUAUGUUAAAGAAAAAAUGUGUAAUAGGUACCAAUGGCAAUACUUGUAAAUAUCCUAGUAAUUAAAGGCUUAUUAACUAAGAUUGAUGAGGAGAGCUGUGAGCUUGCCACAUCAGCAAAAAUGGCAAAAUUGUUAUUAAUCUACCAAAGCAAGGUUACUCUUACCAAUUGCUUCUCUAUUAAUAAUAAGGGGAUGAGAAAUCAUCACAAAAACUACGAGAAUCUUUGUGAUUUACAACAGCUGUGUGGUUCUUCCUCCUGUGAUCUCGAAAAUGAUUUAUAGGGGUGUCAAGAAUACGAUCUUGGAAGC
RNAcentral lists this long non-coding RNA (1419 nucleotides) under Brassica rapa (field mustard). RNAcentral describes it as "long non-coding RNA (BRAP_LNC005179)". The record is from RNAcentral. Lineage: Eukaryota; Viridiplantae; Streptophyta; Magnoliopsida; Brassicales; Brassicaceae.